UUGGAGGGCAAGUCUGGUGCCAGCAGCCGCGGUAAUUCCAGCUCCAAUAGCGUAUAUUAAAGUUGUUGCAGUUAAAAAGCUCGUAGUUGAACUUCGGGGUUUACCCAUUGGUCAGGCUUAAUUGUCUGUACUGGUGAGAUAAAUCUCUACCUUCUGAGGAACUUUUAUGCCAUUUAUUUGGUGUGAUGGGAAAUCAGGACUAUUACUUUGAAAAAAUUAGAGUGUUUAAAGCAGGCUAACGUCUGAAUACAUUAGCAUGGAAUAAUGAAAUAGGACGGAUUGAUUCUAUUUCGUUGGUUUCUAGGAUCACCGUAAUGAUUAAUAGGGAUAGUUGGGGGCAUUAGUAUUCAAUUGUCAGAGGUGAAAUUCUUGGAUUUAUUGAAGACUAACUACUGCGAAAGCAUUUGCCAAGGAUGUUUUCAUUAAUCAAGAACGAAAGUUAGGGGAUCGAAGACGAUCAGAUACCGUCGUAGUCUUAACCAUAAACUAUGCCGACUAGGGAUCGGACGCAGUUAAUUUUAUAAUGACGCGUUCGGCACCUUACGGGAAAC
RNAcentral lists this ribosomal RNA (551 nucleotides) under uncultured Diversisporaceae. RNAcentral describes it as "SSU rRNA". It matches the Rfam family "Eukaryotic small subunit ribosomal RNA", at positions 548 to 1098 of the family's 1831-position model. Lineage: Eukaryota; Fungi; Glomeromycota; Glomeromycetes; Diversisporales. The record is from RNAcentral.